GGGGCAUGGGACUGCUUGAUGUGGUCACCUGACUUGCAAUCAGGAAAUCAGCGGGGUUUGAAUCCCCGAUGCUCCA
This 76-nucleotide transfer RNA is filed under the name Caudoviricetes sp. Its description in RNAcentral is "tRNA-Ala". It matches the Rfam family "tRNA". From Rfam's summary of the family: Transfer RNA (tRNA) molecules are approximately 80 nucleotides in length. The record is from RNAcentral. Lineage: Duplodnaviria; Heunggongvirae; Uroviricota; Caudoviricetes.